AAAUGCUUAAGAAAUGUGAUAAAUUAAUGCAAGUCAAUUGCAGUCUAGUCAGUCAUUCAAUGUGCUAUUACUGUUAGGCUAUGUGCUGAGUUUCCUAACCUUUUCAUACUUGUCUUACAUGUCGGUUUAUUGUUGUGGUGUAUUUCAGAGGAAACUGAAGAGCUAACUAAGCAAUUGGUUGAUAAAGCUCCGACAAAUGUGGUGAACCUGAAUAAUUUGCCUCCAGCAAUUGGUCUGUCGAGCCAAGGGACGACUGUAUCAUCUUCUAAGCCAAAAUACAGGUCAGUAUGAGGGAAAAUCUCGUGCAAGCUAAUGUUUUGCUUAGUAUCAAUUGACAUCAUUAUAUUUUUCGUGGAUGGUACUUUACGCUGUGGGGAAUUAUUUUGUUAUAACUAGUUUCUGAAGUAGGUCGUGUAUGAGUUGUUAUUUUUUGCCUUUUAAAAGUUAUUACAUGCAUAAAUCCUUUUUAUUUGAUGAACCAGACCAAUUUCGUCGAACUUCUCUUACUCUAUUUUUUACUUGACGUGUAUUGCAGGCAUGAAUUUUAUCAGAAACCUGACGAAGUGGUGGUAACAGUUUUCGCAAAGGGCAUACCAGCAAACAACGUUGUGGUUGACUUUGGUGAACAAAUAGUAAGUAGUGCAUGAAUAUAUUGUUCUGAAUUUCACAUCGUUCUUUAGUGACUUGGGCUGAACCGAAACUCCUUUUUCUCUUUUAUUGAUAUUCAGCUUAGCGUUACCAUUGAAGUGCCUGGUGAAGAAGCAUAUCAUUUUCAGCCGCGGUUAUUUGGAAAGGUGAUGUCUAAAAUUAAAAUCCAUUUACUUUGAUUUGGGCACACAGUUCUUUUUGUAUACUUCUUUCCACUAGGAAAGUAAGAAUAUAUCCUGAAUGAGCUAUUUGUGAGUGUUGAAUCUUACUCAGCAAACCUCCUGUUCUUGGUUCUUGCGUAACCUGAUAAUGUGUAAAUACUUCGAAUUUAGUUAACUUUUAGCCAACCAGAAAAAGUGUUUAAUGUGUAAAUACUUCGAAUUUAGUUAACUUUUAGCCAACCAGAAAAAGUGUUAUUACCGGUACGAAAGCAUAAUAUAGGGCAAUAUUUUUUUUUUUUUUUUUUUUUUUUUUUUUAAUGUUUCUUUGCUUCGUAAUUAGCUAGUGCUAGUUGUUUCUUUGUCCACUAUUAGUGUUGCCGAUACAAAAGCGGGUCCUGGUGCAGAUAUUCUACAGUUCAUACUUUUCUUUUGAUAUUCCCGUUUCCGUUGCUUAUUCUGUGUAUUGAUGUUAUAUAUUGACAAACAGAUUGUUCCUGCAAAAUCUCGAUACACCGUCAUGUCUACAAAAAUUGAAAUCCGACUCGCCAAAGCAGACACUUUGCAAUGGGCAUCACUUGAAUUCAAGGCAGAUGUUGCUGUUGUACAGAAAGCGAUUGUAUCAUCAGGUAAGUCGUCUAUUAUAUGCCGAAUACCACCACAUUGAGAUUCGAGCUUAUUUCCCAAGAACUUCCAGUUUUGCUCGUGUUUUCUGAUUUUUUAAUUUUUGUUCAGCAGGCAACAAAAAACCCGCUUAUCCUUCAUCGAAACCGAAAAGAGUAGACUGGGAUAAAUUGGAAGCUCAAAUGAAAAAAGAGGUGUAUAUUUCAUCUCGUUUUCUCUUCUAUCAUUCUCUCCUUUCUGUCAUGUAUAUAUUCCUCGAUUGCAUAACUCUCUCUCUUUCUCUGCAUAUUUAGGAAAAGGAUGAGAAACUCGAUGGUGAUGCAGCUUUGAACAAGUUCUUUAAAGACAUAUACGGUGAUGCUGAUGAGGACACAAAACGAGCCAUGAGCAAGUCUUUCGUAAGAACCGUAAACUCUCUCCCUCUCUCUCUAACUCUCUCUAAUUCUCUCUCUCUCUCUGACAUUUAUGUGGUGGUACAGAUUGAAUCAAACGGAACCGUACUAUCGACAAACUGGAAAGAAGUUGGUGCAAAGAAGGUUGAAGGAAGCGCGCCAGACGGCAUGGAGUUGAAGAAAUGGGAGUACUGAUAGGACGUCUCUUGUCUUUUGAUCGAUCUCAGUCAUAUAUUUGCUUUUUUUUUUUUUUAAUUUUUUUUUUUUGGCACAAGUCAUUUUUUGUGCUGAGGUAUUUUGCCUUGGUUGUUUUUGAACUUGUUCAUACUUUUCUCUUUAGAUCAGAGCAAGUUGACUAUCUUUUAUCUGUUGACUUUUGAUACUCAAAAAUGUUUAUUUCAUUACAGCACUAUGGUUGGAGUGUUUUAUGUUUUUACUAAAUCAUAAUUAAAUAUGUUUUAUUAUUCGAAAAGAAUUCAUAAAAAAUAAGCAGCCAAUAUAACAAAUUCAAUCACGAAGGGAGAAAUCUCUAGCACUUGUUCUUGAUUAUGAUUGUCUUCAAACAUAUUAUAUUAUUUUAGUAUUACUUAAUAAUAUAUUACAUUCCAUGAAGGAUAAUUUAGUCACUUAGAUAGAAGAUUUUACUUGAAACACUUUCUUGAAUGUAAGGGUUUUUAAUUUGCGGCCAUCCUCCUGAAGUAAGAUUUUUUCUGAUAGAAAGAAAAAACCCUCAUGUUUGAGUAAUUACGACAAUUAUUUUUCUCAAGUAUGAAUCUUCUUACACGUCCAUCUAUGUGGUGUUAAAUUCAAUAAAAUCUUUUAGAUUCCGUGUAAUGUUCUAUAGUUUGUAUUCAGUUUUGUGCAAAAAUACAAUUUUUGAUGCACUACAACUUGAUAUGUUUUAAGCCAAGAGACAUAUAUUAUGAUUAUCUUGUUUCAAAAUGUGGAGUUCAAAUGGGGUAAAACGGUAAAAAACUAAAGAAUAUUCAACAUAAUCUAGAAAAUUCUACUAAAUUUGACACAACAAUAAUGAACGUGUAAAAUAUUCAUAGUUGAUGGUGGUUAUAAUUACCAAAACAUGAGGGGUUUUUCGUAAUUCGACCUUACCUCAUCAGUUGGCCGUAAAUUGGGGCAUUUUUUUUUUAUUUUUUUUUUCGAAUUUGAAUUGUUUUCGUAAUUUUUCCCCGAAAAUAAGAAAACAAAUUUAUUUUAAAUCAAAAUUAUUUGUUUAUUUAUUUUCUUUAUUGGGGUUAACAGUUGGGGGAAAACCCCGUCAAGAUCACUCGCCGAUCUUCAAAUUUCUGCUCAAAACAAAUCCGAAGUGAUUACUAAUCAGUGAAUUUCGAUCAUACUCCAACAAGAACAAUGCAAUUCUUCGGUGGCACAGAAAUCAGUCCAUCGCCGCCGGCGCCGACCGCAUCUGGGAACAAUGCCCACAUGCUAUACAUAUUCAACAGAAACGGCGUCGCUUUGCUUUACAGAGAAUGGAAUCGACCCCUCAAAACCCUCAGUCCACAGCAAGAUCACAAGCUAAUGUUUGGUCUCCUCUUCUCUCUCAAAUCCUUAACUGCUAAAAUGGAUCCCACCAGGUAUUCGACGUUAUGCCUCUUCGAAAAAUAUCAAAAUCAGCUCUACCAAAAAAAUAAAUAAAAAUUUGCUCUUUUGAUUGGUUAUUGAUGCGGGUUCCCGUUAUUAACUUUCACAAGCUAGUGAUUCUUUUUUUUUUUUUUUUUUUGGCAGUGCUGAUAAAGGGAAUCUUGGGGUGCCGCAGUUACCUGGGCAAGGAUGUUCUUUUCACAGUUUCAGAACCAAUACUUAUAAAUUGAGUUUCAUGGAGAGUCCAUCUGGGAUUAAGGUUAGCUGUGAUGAUUGGUUAGUUGUGAUGAUUGGUUUUAGUUGGGAUUAAGGUAAGUGGCCUUUUUCUUGAAUUAUGAAAUGCUUGAUUUGGAAACUUGUUACGGCACGAGAUGCAUUAAUGUGUAAAUUUUCUCUAAACUUGUUCCGAUUUUAUGAAUUUGAGUUUUCUGUAGUGAAAUCCCUUAGUUACAUGUCAAAAUGAUUCUCACUGUGAGAUGGGCUUUUUGUUUAAAACAUGAUUCCCCCAGUGCAAAUAGAAGUUUUGUCGCUGUCCUAAUCUUUUAUUACAACAGAAGGAAUCGGUGUUGCAGAAUUUUGCCUUUGAAAUGAAGUCAUUACAGUCGGGGUUGAUUGGGAAAUAAAACUAGGAUAAAGGAUUCAUGUGGAAGCAAAUUUCAUACUGGAGUUUGGUUCUAAGGUUAAUAGAUAAAAGCAGCAUAAACGAGUCCCUAUUGAUUAACUUUAUCAACUGAGUUAAAGAAACAUGAAAUACUACGGUUAUAAGUUGAUGAUGCCGAUGGACUAGGUAUCUUUUCAUUGCAGAACUUGAUGGUAUUAGUUCUGUGCUUUUUUCCAUAAUUUUAACGCACAAUUGGAUUUGUUAUUGAUCAAUCUUUCGAAGAAACAUGGUUACUUUCUUGAAAUACUAUUUCAUCCUUUGACUGAUUCAGAUUAAAAAGCUCUCUUAGGGUGUUUGGGUCGAGGAUAGUGUAGAAACAAGAUUCCUAGUUUGAAUAAUAAACGUUCAAGAGUUCUUAAUGAAUUGUAUUAGUAUGAAUUAAGGAUAAUCCAAAGUUAGUAUAAGGAAAUCAUAAUAUUAUGUUUAUCUGAGUGUACUACUCUUUCUAUCCAGUUCGGGUAUCAUGUAACCAACCAAAUUUCAUUGGCUAAAACACAAUCAGUUUUUACUUUUUAGUUUUUAACAUUCUCUCUUUUCAAUUUAUAAGUUUUUAACGUUCUUUCUUUUGAAUUUUCUGAGUAUCUGCAAUAAUAAGACCAUACAGGUUGGAAAAUCCUCUAAUAUAAUUCUGUGUUAUGAACCCUUAAUAAUUCAAUAAAGGUAAAUGAAUGUCAAUGUCUACAGUUCCUUAUGAUCCUUUCACCAUUCAUUAGUUACUUCUUUCGUUUACUCAUGUCCACAUUGUGUAAUAAAAAUAUCAUUUUGGCGUUUUUAAUAAACUUUUUUUUGUUAUGCAGCUUAUUCUCGUCACUCACCCAAAGACUGGUGAUCUGAGAGACUCUCUCAAGUACAUAUAUAACUUGUACGUUGAGUAUGUUGUCAAGAAUCCACUAUAUUCUCCUGGAACUCCCAUCAGGUGAGUCGUAAUUUUUUGGUUGAGUAUUUAUCUGCAGUUCUCUACAGUUACACACAUCACUAAAAAUUCUUUAAUAUUUUUUGGAUUUCGGGGAUUUUUGGGAUCGGGAUUGAAAUUUUACUUUCCGAAUUCUCUUUAUAUUUACUUAAAAUCUGGUCUUUCGGGAUCUCCGAGAAACCCCGGAAUUCUGGGAUAUGGAACGGGAAAUCCCGAAAUAUUAUUUUUCCGGCAAAACAAAAAAAAAACAGACUAACAUCAUCAGUCUUAACCAUAAUAUUAAAUGGCUAAUUUUCAUUUUGAUUAGCUUCAGAAUCUCAUUUCCCAAACAAAUCCACUCUACUAAUUUUCAUCAGCAUUCUCGCUAAGAUUUGUACUGAAUCCCUCUCGAAUCUCGAUACAUGUUCAGCACUAAACUAAUGUUUAGUGCAUUAAACUAUUGUUGUUAUUAGCUUUCUUAUUUAUAAUAUUAUUAGCAAUCUACAAUUAUUACCAUUGUUGUUUUGUUAAUCAAGAUAAUAGUACAUUACUACUAACUUUCUCACUAUUAUUACUAAAAAAAAAUAUACAUUUUUACUAAAAAUUGAAAUCAAGGGGAAAAAACACCGUGCAAGCUUUCUUAUCUCGACCUCUAAAAAGGGUUACAUUGUCUCGACUUCUGAGUAUGUAUAUUUUUAUAAUGCUUCGGAACUACGUAACUUAGUUGAUGCUAAGUCGGUUUUGUCUGAUGUUGUUUGUGCAGUUGUGAGCUAUUCAAUAAAACUGUUGAUCAGUAUGUGAGAGGCCUCGGCUAAUAUGGUACGUUUAUCGUCUCGAUUCUUGAUAUUAUAACUACAAUUUUGUAUUUUUUUUAGCAAUAUUCAAAUCCUUUACAAACUGGGGAAGCAUCGGUGCAGUAGGAUUAGAACCCUAGAUGUGAUAAUUAUGAAAAUAAAAUUUUCAAACUAAAAUUAAUUUUAAAAAAAUUAAAAAAAUCGUGACAUUGAUAUUACUAUAAUUUAGCAUAACUAGAAUUUGUAAUUAAUUAAUUAAAUCAAUUAAUUAAUUAAUUGUAUUAUUGCAUUCUCAUUCCCUUUUCAUAGUCCUUUUCCAAAUAGAACAAGGCAUUCUUUUUUUUUUUAUCUUCCUUAUUAAAAAAAAAAAAAAAAACUCUCUCUCUCUAUAUAUAAAUAUAUCUUGAUUUACUUCGCCCCUUCUCAAUACUCUCUGCUUUUCAAUUCCAACGUGUCUCCAGAAAGUUCCAAUCGUUACAUACAAAAGAAAAAUCACACACACAAACACACAAUCCGCAGUGUUUGAUUGAGUUGAAUCGAAACAAAUCAAUGGCGUCGUCUUCCGAUCUGGAAUCAAAGGCCAAAGAAGCUUUCGUAGAUGACCACUUCGAACUAGCCAUUGACCUCUACUCUCAAGCCAUUGCUCUGUGCCCUAGCAACGCUGACCUCUUCGUUGACCGCGCUCAGGCCAAUAUUAAACUCCAAAGCUUCACUGGUAUCAGAUUAAUUUUUGAUUUUCAUGUUGUGUAUUGAUUUUUUUUUUUUUUUUUUUAUGUACUGAAGUUUACUGUUAUUGUUGUAUUUGGAUAAUUUUGGUAUGUAGAGUGGGAGAAUUUUAUGGGCACAGGUAGAUUGUGCUAAACUUGUUUCGAAUUUCGAUCUUUAGUUUUCGGUUUUUUUUCGAUUUUAGGACCCUAAUCCUAUUGGCUCUGGUGGUUUUAGCCAAUUUUUUUGUUUUAAUCCAAGUUACUAUUGCUUUUGGAUAUACUUGUUGAUGGCAUUGUUAUUAGAAAACCAGUUUUAUGCUCUGCUUGAUUUAAAUGAGUGGAGUCUAUUGCGUGUAGUGCGGAUAUGUAGAUUUGGGAUCAUGGAGUUGGAAUUGAUAAAACUCUUAUCCGAAAAAUAUUUUCUAAUCUGAGUGUAUGGCUUGAAAAGAUUGAUAUGAAUUUUGUUUAUAAGUUAGUUUUAUUAUUGUUGGUGAACGGAUUCCGUUGAUGUUUGACGUGCAGAUGCUGUUUCUGAUGCAAAUAAAGCAAUCGAGUUGAACCCUGCAAAUACGAAAGCGUAUCUACGUAAAGGGUGAGUUUGUUUUCGAUUGAAUGAUUUUGUUAUGGUUUUUGAAAUAAAUUUAGUUUUUCUCGUACGGAAUAAGGAGAUGCCCCGUGUGCAUUAUGUCCUUUCUCUAAUUAAGUAUAGAAAUCUGAAUAGUUGAUUUAAAGCUUUUCAACAAAAAAGUUUUUUGCAUUUUGUUCGUCUGCUUUGAGACACGGAUUUUUUUAAGGUCUCGAUUAACUUUGUUUUGAUUGUUAGCUUUGACCCAGCAUUGGCUAAAGUAUACUUAAGAUAAUAUUCCAUUUUUAUUCUGAUGGCUCUUUGAAUGCAAAUUUCUUAGUUGUUUAUUUAUGUUCUCGUGACAGUGUGGCGUGUAUCAAUCUCGAAGAAUUCCAAACUGCUAAGACAGCCUUGGAAACUGGUGCUUCUUUGGCACCUGGAGACUCUAGGUUUACUAAUUUGAUCAAAGAAUGUGAAAAGCGCAUAGCAGGUAAUUUGAUUAUUUUCCGUGUUUAGGAUUUGUCGCUUCGAUGUGAUUUGCUGUCUUUUAUCCUCUGCCUUUUUAUACUCUCAACCUUGAUGACGAGCUUAGUUUGCUUGUCAUAAGCGUAAACUGAAAUUUUUAUUUUUAUCUAAUCUUUUUUCUUGGGAUUUUCAUCUUCAAUGUAUCGUCAGUUGCAUGAUUUGUUAUUUCCAUUUGAUUGUUGAAUUUUCUUCGGUAACACUUGCAGUAUCUGAAAUAUAGUUAUGCAAUAUGUCGGGUUCACACAUAACGACUGUGCAAUCAGCUAUAUCUAGAUUUUUGUGAAAUGCUUAAGAAAUGUGAUAAAUUAAUGCAAGUCAAUUGCAGUCUAGUCAGUCAUUCAAUGUGCUAUUACUGUUAGGCUAUGUGCUGAGUUUCCUAACCUUUUCAUACUUGUCUUACAUGUCGGUUUAUUGUUGUGGUGUAUUUCAGAGGAAACUGAAGAGCUAACUAAGCAAUUGGUUGAUAAAGCUCCGACAAAUGUGGUGAACCUGAAUAAUUUGCCUCCAGCAAUUGGUCUGUCGAGCCAAGGGACGACUGUAUCAUCUUCUAAGCCAAAAUACAG
Molecule: long non-coding RNA, 8125 nt
Filed under: Erythranthe guttata (spotted monkey flower)
Lineage: Eukaryota; Viridiplantae; Streptophyta; Magnoliopsida; Lamiales; Phrymaceae
Description: long non-coding RNA (EGUT_LNC003600)
Source: RNAcentral